Molecule: long non-coding RNA, 1505 nt
Organism: Gallus gallus (chicken)
Lineage: Eukaryota; Metazoa; Chordata; Aves; Galliformes; Phasianidae
Source: Ensembl
CAGGAUUAGUAUGUGCAUAGACACAGAAUAAUGUGCAGACACACAAAUCACUGCUUUCCUAUGGACUUCUUCUUCUGGCACUGAUUUUGUUGCUGUUGUUGGACACAUGCAUUAUAAAUUAAAGACAGAAAAGGCCUCUCUGCAUUUGAUCUUGUAUGCUGAAUACUGAGAAAGAUACUUCUGCAUGAAACAGGAUUUCUAUUGAACAUUCGUGGAAAAAUGCUGUAUGCAUCACGCCCGGUUCAAGGAGAAAGUGAUGUUCUAAACAGAUGACACCCAGAACAAGAUCAGGCCCCAAAAUUCAUAGAGAGGUUAAACAAUUCAUGGCAGAAAGGAAUGCUCAGACAGCCAACAUCUCCAAAACAAUCUCUGAAUACUAAACAAUGCACAGCAAAAACUAGAAUAUUCUGUGUUGUCUUUAAUCACUCACUACCACUUUUUAAAAUUUAAAUUCAUGCCUUUGAGUCAGACUUCGUGCCAAAAGCAAGAGGUCUUAACAGAUACAUUUGAAACCUAUUGUUUAGAUCUGGCACUAGCUGUUCUUCCUCCCCCUGUAGCAGUAGGGAGGUUUUCCAGGUAUGUGGGAGGCAAGUUCCCCAGAGCCAUUAUAUUGCUUGUUCUCUGCAUGAUCUCCUUCAUUAAAUAAUCUUUUAAUGCAACAUUAAUAGUAAUUGCAAGAUUACAGUUCAAAAUAUUUGAUAACAUCACACUAUGCUGUUGAAAAGCAACCGAUCUCUUCUCUAAAGCUGGCUGUGGGGGGCAAGCCUACUGUAAAACACUACCAAUCCCUUGGACUGAAAGCACUGCAGCUCUUUUUGUUAUUUCCAUUCCCAGUCUGGAUAUAUUACAGGUGGUUCAAGCUGGCAAUGGAGAAUGGAAGAAAGGAAAAUAACCAGUUAAUAUGUUUUUUUAUUAUGAAGUUUUCAAAGGAUGUAAACAUGGAAUUUUUCAGUGAUUCACAAAGUAGAGAACUAUUGAUCACUUAUUGGAGAUGAUAUUUAUGUACCAGUACUUGCAUACAUAAUGUUUGUUGUCUCUUUUAUAUCUAUGAGUACUGCAGAAAAGUAAGGCUAUUCAACUUUUACUUUUUUGAGCAAUCUGCUUCUUCUGCCAUAUUCUUCACAUUCUAUAUGAUGUUGAUUCUAAAUUUGAAUAUUGGUAGUAAUACCCAUAACAAUAACACUUACCUGUAGAACUGAUCUGGAUCACAGCUGAAAUUCUACUCAUUCAUUUGUUAUUAUUUUUGCUGUAUAAUAAUUCCUUAACAUUGGACUCUUGACUGUUCAUAAGUUGAAAUAAUCAAAGGCUGCAUCAAGGAGCAUGUCAAGACAGAAGAAUCCAGGAGACAUACAAAUAAAUCAUGUUUUCCACUUGCACAAAGGUGUACAUGUCUUGUAAGAACCUCAGAACAGCUCAGGGUAAACAAAUACUGAAAAAGGGCCUAAAGGAAAAGACCAUAUAUGACUGAUAAGAUUAGUACAGAUGAAAUGCUCAAGAAUCACCAG